UACGUAGGGUGCGAGCGUUAAUCGGAAUUACUGGGCGUAAAGCGUGCGCAGGCGGUUCUGAAAGUCAGCUGUGAAAGCCCUGGGCUCAACCUGGGAAUUGCAGUGGAUACUGGCGAGCUAGAGUGCGGUAGAGGAUGGUGGAAUUCCCGGUGUAGCGGUGAAAUGCGUAGAGAUCGGGAGGAACACCCGUGGCGAAGGCGGCAUCCUGGACCGACACUGACGCUGAGGAGCGAAAGCCAGGGGAGCAAACGGG
RNAcentral lists this ribosomal RNA (253 nucleotides) under uncultured bacterium. RNAcentral describes it as "partial 16S ribosomal RNA". It matches the Rfam family "Bacterial small subunit ribosomal RNA", at positions 524 to 776 of the family's 1533-position model. The record is from RNAcentral.